AUGUCCGCCGCCAGCGUUGUCCGUUUGUCGCGGUCGGCCACCAGAUUCGUGGCCAAGGCCGCGAGCGGCUUCCACCUGCUCCGCAUCGACGGCUACUCGCAGGCCAAGACGAUCCUUCCCGGCCAGAAGAUCUCCUCCAUGGCCUUCGCCGUCGGCGGGCAUUCCUGGCGCAUGGACUACUACCCCAACGGCCGCGACACCUCCGCCAAGUCCAACGCCGUCUCCGUCUACCUCCAGCGCAUCGACCGCGGCCAGGAGGAUCCCCUCCAGGCGCAGUACAAGUUCAGCCUGGUGGACCACGCCGGCAACGCGGCGUACGAGCUCCCGGCCCAGACCGGCACCUUCAUCUCCGUCCCAGAAGUCAACGUCUACCAGCGCCAUGCCGCGACGGGGACCUUCGGCGGCCCCGCCGAAGGCGAACCAGGGCCAGGAUGCGGCCUCGAGGAGUUCAUCGUCAAGGAAGAGCUGGAGAAACGGGAGCAUCUGAUCCGCAACGACUGCCUCAUGGUCCGGUGUGACGUGGGCGUCACAGAGGUGGGAACCUCAUGGCUGGCGACGGACGAGAUAACGAACGAUUACGAAGAAGAAGAUAGUGAUGAUGAUGAUGGGUACGGCGCGGGGACCCCUCGCCGCCGUCGUCGCCGCCGUCGUCGGGACGACGGCGAAUACGUCAAGUGGUGUUUGGCCCAACGACCUAGGUGA
RNAcentral lists this ribosomal RNA (702 nucleotides) under Triticum aestivum (bread wheat). Its description in RNAcentral is "partial small subunit ribosomal RNA". Lineage: Eukaryota; Viridiplantae; Streptophyta; Magnoliopsida; Poales; Poaceae. The record is from RNAcentral.